Molecule: ribosomal RNA, 440 nt
Filed under: uncultured bacterium
Lineage: Bacteria
Description: partial 16S ribosomal RNA
Rfam family: Bacterial small subunit ribosomal RNA
Source: RNAcentral
CCUACGGGUGGCAGCAGUGGGGGAUAUUGCACAAUGGGGGAAACCCUGAUGCAGCGACGCCGCGUGGGUGAAGAAGCGCCUCGGCGCGUAAAGCCCUGUCAGCAGGGAAGAAAAUGACGGUACCUGAAGAAGAAGCCCCGGCCAACUACGUGCCAGCAGCCGCGGUAAUACGAGGGGGGCAAGAGUUAUCCGGAUUUACUGGGUGUAACGGGGGCGCUGACGGCGAUGCAAGCCAGGGGGGAAAGCCCGGGGCCCAACCCCGGGACUGCUCUUGAAACUGCGUGGCUAGAGUGCAGGAGGGGCAGGAGGAAUGCCUGGUGUAGCGGUGAAAUGCGUAGAUAUCAGGAGGAAAACCGGUGGCGAAGGCGUCCUGCUGGACUGCAACUGACGUUGAGGCCCGAAAGCGUGGGGAGCAAACAGGAUUAGAUACCCCAGUAGUC